This is a long non-coding RNA of Nicotiana tabacum (common tobacco), 357 nucleotides long. RefSeq lists it as uncharacterized. The record is from RefSeq and is a predicted model, not a curated record. Lineage: Eukaryota; Viridiplantae; Streptophyta; Magnoliopsida; Solanales; Solanaceae.
AAGUUUUAAAUAAAUCAGAAACGUUUCCUUUUUAUAAUUUCAAACCAAGAAACGUUGGAACAAGUCUUAUAAUAAAUCCAUUCAUCAGUUCAAAAACGUUCAAAGCAGAUUCGUUCAAAUAAUUCCGGGAUCAGGUCCCGAUAAACAGGUCGAGAGCCCUCCAAGUAGGCUUUUAGCUCAGCGGAAGAUGUUGGUGUGCUCCAUUAGCUUCGGUGUUGCUUGUUUGUUUAGUAUGAUUUAGACGUGUAUUAUUUGGUAUGGCGGGACUCUAUCCCGACCUUUAUGACAUUUAUGUACUCUUAGAGACUUGUAGACAUAUGUCGUAUACAUGAAAGAUUAUACAGCCUUGUCUGCCUA